Molecule: ribosomal RNA, 484 nt
Filed under: uncultured bacterium
Lineage: Bacteria
Description: partial 16S ribosomal RNA
Rfam family: Bacterial small subunit ribosomal RNA
Source: RNAcentral
AUUGAACGCUGGCGGCAGGCCUAACACAUGCAAGUCGAGCGGAUGAAGGGAGCUUGCUCCUGGAUUCAGCGGCGGACGGGUGAGUAAUGCCUAGGAAUCUGCCUGGUAGUGGGGGAUAACGUCCGGAAACGGGCGCUAAUACCGCAUACGUCCUGAGGGAGAAAGUGGGGGAUCUUCGGACCUCACGCUAUCAGAUGAGCCUAGGUCGGAUUAGCUAGUUGGUGGGGUAAAGGCCUACCAAGGCGACGAUCCGUAACUGGUCUGAGAGGAUGAUCAGUCACACUGGAACUGAGAUACGGUCCAGACUCCUACGGGAGGCAGCAGUGGGGAAUAUUGGACAAUGGGCGAAAGCCUGAUCCAGCCAUGCCGCGUGUGUGAAGAAGGUCUUCGGAUUGUAAAGUACUUUAAGUUGGGAGGAAGGGCAGUAAGUUAAUACCUUGCUGUUUUGACGUUACCAACAGAAUAAGCACCGGCUAACUUCGUG